UGGGGAAUUUUGGACAAUGGGGGAAACCCUGAUCCAGCCAUCCCGCGUGUGCGAUGAAGGCCUUCGGGUUGUAAAGCACUUUUGGCAGGAAAGAAACGUCGCGGGUUAAUACCCCGCGAAACUGACGGUACCUGCAGAAUAAGCACCGGCUAACUACGUGCCAGCAGCCGCGGUAAUACGUAGGGUGCAAGCGUUAAUCGGAAUUACUGGGCGUAAAGCGUGCGCAGGCGGUUCGGAAAGAAAGAUGUGAAAUCCCAGAGCUUAACUUUGGAACUGCAUUUUUUAACUACCGGGCUAGAGUGUGUCAGAGGGAGGUGGAAUUCCGCGUGUAGCAGUGAAAUGCGUAGAUAUGCGGAGGAACACCGAUGGCGAAGGCAGCCUCCUGGGAUAACACUGACGCUCAUGCACGAAAGCGUGGGGAGCAAACAGGAUUAGAUACCCUGGUAGUCCACGCCCUAAACGAUGUCAACUAGCUGUUGGGGCCUUCGGGCCUUGGUAGCGCAGCUAACGCGUGAAGUUGACCGCCUGGGGGAGUACGGUCGCAAGAUUAAAACUUAAAUGAAUUGACGGGGGUCAUAGCUGUUUCCCU
RNAcentral lists this ribosomal RNA (589 nucleotides) under uncultured bacterium. RNAcentral describes it as "partial 16S ribosomal RNA". It matches the Rfam family "Bacterial small subunit ribosomal RNA", at positions 355 to 1376 of the family's 1533-position model. The record is from RNAcentral.